UAGGUCUUGAGAUCCCGAUGAGAAGUAAAUGCUUUGACCAGAGCUCCGAGCAAAGCCAGAGAAAAGUCACUCACAACCUCUUUUGGAGUUGGUGCACCUGCACGUAACCAUUCUGUCAUCCAAUUUGUUAUUGCAUUAACAUCAUGUCUCUCUGACAGCAUUUGCAGCACUGGGACACCUCUGCUUUCGUCAACUGCCAGAAUGCCCUGAUAUAAAAAGAUAUGACCAGACAUACCAUUUGGUUUCUGUAGUUUCCUCACUACUGAGCCAGUUGCAUCAAAACUCACAGUGGGGGUGGCCAGAUUAGGCAGAUGGCUCGGCUCGGGAUCACCAAACUCCAUCAGUUUUGUUGCCUCUGAUGCCCCCCAUACAUGGGGUUCCAUUCUACCCUCACAUAGUUCUUUGGAUAUCUGCACACGCAAUUGCCCAGAAAUUGCACGCUUGGGACAGCCAGUGUGCAGGGUGUCAUCAGUGUUUGUGACAAAACACUUGAGCACCAUCGGGGUGUUCAUUUCAGGCUCUCGGUCACAUUUUAUUAGAAUGUUGGCAUGACACUCCUUACAGUUGCCUCUGAUUUCGAUGUAUUUCUCUCUGUCUGAUGGGUAGACCUUAGCUCUUUUAAAGGCAAAUGUGCAAGAGCUCUUCACUUCUUGCCAGAUAUGAGAAUUUAUCACAUGCGUCCAGAUGCCAGGUUUCAAAAUUGUAUAUUCUUUUUUUUGUGUUUUAGAGAACUUGUUUUUGUACUCAACUUUUUCAGGCAUGAAUUCAAUCCAUUUCUGAAAUGGAACUUGAAGAUCAAAAGUCCAGCAGUCUUUUGGUCUGGGGGAAAAAGACCCUGGCUCAAAGUCAGUGUCAUCACUACUGACACUUGUUUCAUGCUCACUUUCACAAGUAUGCCCUAAAGCAGUCCAGAUGUUGUGUCUGUUUAAUUUCACAAAAGUGUAUAGAGCCUUUGGGGUGAUCUUGUUUUCUAGCUGCUCACUAAGCUCUGUCCAGAUUCUCUGAUUAGGAGUAGCUAUGUUGCCAUAUUGUACUAUUGCCUCUCUUGAUGAACACAGGACUGUGAACAUGGAAUCCCUGUCAACUGCUGGUUUCUUGGGCAUCUGGUAUAAGCAAAAUGAAAUUACCCACAUAUCCUGACUAUAAGGUCAUUCAUAGCAUAGACGUAUUUUCAUGGAUAACUGUAUUGGUCAGAAUAUUAGGAUAAUAUAAUGUACUAACAAUAAAUGUGAACCUCCUUUUGAAAACCAGGCUAAAGUAUCAUAAACAAUGAGGUCCUGAGCAAAAAAAAAGAUUUUAACUAUUAUUUUCAAAUUGUGAUUUGGAAAUUGUGAACUGGUUAAUUAAAUAUAUCAAUGUUAUAUUUUCACAGAAUGCUUAUUGAAAGAUAUGAAGAUAUUUUCACACACUGUUCUUUACAUUAUGUAGGAUGAUUUUAUGAAUAAACAGCAAACCACCCAAAAAUGACUAAAAUGACAAUGACUGAAAAAAUAACUUUAACUCUGUUUUCACUGGCAGGGUUAAACAUAAGAAUAUUAUAUGGCCCUUUCUGUAAAAACAGAGCUGAAGUGUUUUGUAUGUGAUUUGCUGUUUUUAACAUGAAAUCAUCCUACAUAAUGUUAAGAACAGUGUGUGAAAAUACCUUCAUAUCUUUAAAAUCGACUAAGUAAUACCAUAACACAAAUUGAAAUCUUAGUGAAAAUGAAUGGUUGAAAUCAAACUUUGUUGCUCAUGAUCUUAUAGGCUAUGAGACUUGAGCCUGGGGUCACAAUUUAGAGACGUGUAGCUGUAAUUAGCAUUUCAUGACGGAUACUGAUAUUAGCAAGGAGUUUUUGGUUGAAUAAAUAUUGACAAUCGAA
Molecule: long non-coding RNA, 1859 nt
Organism: Triplophysa dalaica
Lineage: Eukaryota; Metazoa; Chordata; Actinopteri; Cypriniformes; Nemacheilidae
Exons: 2
Source: RefSeq, a predicted model, not a curated record